GACGAACGCUGGCGGCGUGCUUAACACAUACAAGUCGAACGGAAAGGCCCUGCUUUUGUGGGGUGCUCGAGUGGCGAACGGGUGAGUAACACGUGAGUAACCUGCCCUUGACUUUGGGAUAACUUCAGGAAACUGGGGCUAAUACCGGAUAGGAGCUCCUGCUGCAUGGUGGGGGUUGGAAAGUUUCGGCGGUUGGGGAUGGACUCGCGGCUUAUCAGCUUGUUGGUGGGGUAGUGGCUUACCAAGGCUUUGACGGGUAGCCGGCCUGAGAGGGUGACCGGCGACAUUGGGACUGAGAUACGGCCCAGACGGCUACGGGAGGCAGCAGUGGGGAGUAUUGCACAAUGGGCGGAAGCCUGAUGCGGCAGCGUCGCGUGCGGGAUGACGGCCUUCGGGUUGUAAACCGCUUUCGCCUGUGACGAAGCGUGAGUGACGGUAAUGGGUAAAGAAGCACCGGCUAACUACGUG
RNAcentral lists this ribosomal RNA (468 nucleotides) under uncultured bacterium. Its description in RNAcentral is "partial 16S ribosomal RNA". It matches the Rfam family "Bacterial small subunit ribosomal RNA", at positions 28 to 507 of the family's 1533-position model. The record is from RNAcentral.